RNAcentral lists this ribosomal RNA (547 nucleotides) under Russula aff. turci VH-2016. RNAcentral describes it as "partial 12S small subunit ribosomal RNA". It matches the Rfam family "Bacterial small subunit ribosomal RNA", at positions 359 to 952 of the family's 1533-position model. The record is from RNAcentral. Lineage: Eukaryota; Fungi; Basidiomycota; Agaricomycetes; Russulales; Russulaceae.
GAAUAUUAGUCAAUGCUCGAAAGAGUGAACUAGCUAACUGAAAUCAAUAAAAUAAUUGAUAACAUAAGGGAAAAUAAUGAUAUUACCUUAUUAUUAGUGUCGUCCAAAACUGGUGCCAGAAGACUCGGUAAGGCCAGAGACACAAACGUUAAUCGUCUUAAUCAGGCGUAAAGGGUUUGUAGGCGGCUUUAAAAUUUACUAACAAAUAAAUAAAUAAAAAGUAAAGAAUAAAAGCUAGAAUCAAAUAGAGGAUAUAUGAAAUAAUGUUUAGAGUAGGUCUGAUAUCCUUAGAUACUAAGUAGAAUAUUAAAGGCGAAAGCUUUUUUCCAUUAAUGAUUGACGCUCAGAAACGAAAGUGAGGAUAGGAAAUAGGAUUUGAUACCCAAAAUACCCCUCUCUGUCAACGAUGAAUGGUAAUUUAUUAGUAUAAUUAUUAAUAAUAAUGUUAACACGAUAACCAUUCCGCCUUGUGAGUACAACUGCAAAGUUGAAAACAAAAAAAUUAGUCGGUUUCGGAGCAAACGAAGUGAAGCAUGUUAUUUAAUUC